Paramisgurnus dabryanus is the source of this 1359-nucleotide long non-coding RNA. RefSeq lists it as uncharacterized. NCBI's taxonomy places the organism in Eukaryota, Metazoa, Chordata, Actinopteri, Cypriniformes, Cobitidae. The record is from RefSeq and is a predicted model, not a curated record.
UGAGUGCACGGAUAUCGGUUAAUUAUUCAAAUUACUGAAAAACACGGAGAAAACCGCAACCGCAUCGUCACGUGUUUUUCUAAGAUGUAUGCAAACAGGGGAAAUAUCGCCAAACCAACAAUUAAUUUGACCAAAACCUCACAAUAUAUCAUCAUUUGUAUGCACAGAUUGGAUGCAUUGUGUGUUGUAAGCUUUUCGUGGCGCUAGAUGUCAGACAGAUGCAAAUGGCAAAUACAUACGAAAGUGUAAAACGUGUAUGGCGAACAUUUGUUUUUUUCUGUCAUUAUAGAUGCUAGUUUGGUGAAAGUUCACACUGAGUGCUUCAAAUCAUUCAGAAGAGAUGCUGUUUUUAGGGCAGUUUAUUAAAGAAGACCUGACAUGGAUGACUUCCAAUGAGAAACGACUGCUAAUACUUAUAUAAAUUCAUUACAGAAGGACCCUACCAGACUAUAUUUGAAUAUGGCAUACCCAUGAAUUCUGGAACUGUUAUUCCUUAACCCAGUUUGGAGGAUAAGAGCUUACCAACUAGUUAUAAAUAUGCUGAGGUGAUGUAUUGCAAAAUAGCCAACAUACAACAAUAUGGAUGACCCUCUGUCUGGUCAACAGGAGUUUAAAUAUGGACGGGACAGUUAUGUGGCAGCUCUUCCCUGGCUCAUUCACCUCUUGCCUUUCAUUUGUGAAAGGAAGAAAGAAGAAAGAGGGUCAAUGUGCAACUGAAGCUACUGAUUGUGCUAUGUGAUUAGCAUCAAUCCAUGCUUUGAGGUGGAUGAAUCAGCACAGCCCUGCGUGCUCUGCGUUGGGAACAGAAGUUGCAUCCAGAAUUUUUGCAUCAUUCUGGACCAAAAAGCCAUUCCCUCCAUGAUGAAGACCACUGAUGAAGCCUUCCACUACAUCAUGAGUAAAACAACUACAGAACUAAAUACCAGGUUGGAACGUAUUUAAGAAAAAUGAAACGUCUUUUGAAUUGAAAUGUCUGUUUUGUUAUGGAAAAAUCUUUAGUAUUGUGAAGGAUAAGCAUUUCUGCCUGCCAGUAAGGUAAUUGCAGUGUAUUUUAAUGUUCAAGUUUUGAGUAGGGUGGCUAAUUUUUUUAAAACUCUCAUUUGAUUUAUUAAAGACCUUAUAAUAAGUGGUUUUCAUGUCACUGCGCUGUGGUAUAAGAUAACUUUCAUUAUUCCAUACUGUAUUCUGUAUUCUAAUUGUAGCUGAGGUAUUUAAAUAAGCAGUGUUAAAUGCAAAGUGUUGUGUGUAUCAAUGUAAAUAUUAAAUGUGAUGUACUUUAAUAAAAAGAGGUUUUGCAAUAUUUCUUGUCAUUUGUCUUUUAUAGAAACAACCCAUUAGCAACAAAAGUGGCUAUUAAUC